CAUGCAAGUCGAGGGGCAGCAUGGUCUUAGCUUGCUAAGGCCGAUGGCGACCGGCGCACGGGUGAGUAACACGUAUCCAACCUGCCGUCUACUCUUGGACAGCCUUCUGAAAGGAAGAUUAAUACAAGAUGGCAUCAUGAGUCCGCAUGUUCACAUGAUUAAAGGUAUUCCGGUAGACGAUGGGGAUGCGUUCCAUUAGAUAGUAGGCGGGGUAACGGCCCACCUAGUCUUCGAUGGAUAGGGGUUCUGAGAGGAAGGUCCCCCACAUUGGAACUGAGACACGGUCCAAACUCCUACGGGAGGCAGCAGUGAGGAAUAUUGGUCAAUGGGCGAGAGCCUGAACCAGCCAAGUAGCGUGAAGGAUGACUGCCCUAUGGGUUGUAAACUUCUUUUAUAAAGGAAUAAAGUCGGGUAUGGAUACCCGUUUGCAUGUACUUUAUGAAUAAGGAUCGGCUAACUCCGUGCCAGCAGCCGCGGUAAUACGGAGGAUCCGAGCGUUAUCCGGAUUUAUUGGGUUUAAAGGGAGCGUAGAUGGAUGUUUAAGUCAGUUGUGAAAGUUUGCGGCUCAACCGUAAAAUUGCAGUUGAUACUGGAUAUCUUGAGUGCAGUUGAGGCAGGCGGAAUUCGUGGUGUAGCGGUGAAAUGCUUAGAUAUCACGAAGAACUCCGAUUGCGAAGGCAGCCUGCUAAGCUGCAACUGACAUUGAGGCUCGAAAGUGUGGGUAUCAAACAGGAUUAGAUACCCUGGUAGUCCACACGGUAAACGAUGAAUACUCGCUGUUUGCGAUAUACUGCAAGCGGCCAAGCGAAAGCGUUAAGUAUUCCACCUGGGGAGUACGCCGGCAACGGUGAAACUCAAAGGAAUUGACGGGGGCCCGCACAAGCGGAGGAACAUGUGGUUUAAUU
RNAcentral lists this ribosomal RNA (905 nucleotides) under uncultured bacterium. RNAcentral describes it as "bacterial SSU rRNA". It matches the Rfam family "Bacterial small subunit ribosomal RNA", at positions 54 to 951 of the family's 1533-position model. The record is from RNAcentral.